GUGAAUCAUCGAAUCUUUGAACGCACAUUGCGCUCCCUGGUAUUCCGGGGAGCAUGCCCGUUUCAGAAUCAUUAAAAUCUCACAAGCCCUGGUUUACGCUCGCGGAAACCGGGGGGAAGUGGAUGUGGGUGCACUUGCGAGCCUGGCUUGCGAUGCAUCUAUAAAUGAUUGUGACGUGCGCCAAUUGUCGUGUCAACUGGUCGUCCGAAGCGCAACAGAUUCAUCUAUUCGUUUUGGUCAUCAGCUGGCUGACUUGGAGGCAUGGGACUCAACUUGUCAACCGGGGCCCUGCAGUUUGCA
Molecule: unclassified non-coding RNA, 300 nt
Filed under: uncultured Phlyctochytrium
Lineage: Eukaryota; Fungi; Chytridiomycota; Chytridiomycetes; Spizellomycetales; Spizellomycetaceae
Description: sequence contains 5.8S rRNA gene, ITS2
Rfam family: 5.8S ribosomal RNA (bases 1-71)
Source: RNAcentral